UUUUCUCUGUUUUAAUCUUUGACCAUUUUUAAGAAGGUGUCAUUGUAGUGAUGAGUAAUUAGUUGCUGGUUUCUCUUUGAUAAUAUGUGGAAUGUCUUUUCAGAUGGUGUCUUUUUGUUUUCAUUUUGCUCUGCCUACUUUAAAGAUGGUAUCAAUGCAGACAAUAUAUCAGGAUUUUAUACUUCCAAUUAGUAAAAAGAGAGAUCAGUCACUUUUUUCGUUUUGUUGAGCCAAUUUGGUUAUCAAAUGUUGGAUCCACUGAAGAAGAACGAGUUAAAUGGGUAUCAAAGCGUAUGAUUGAUUCAAAUACGGGUCAGAUGUGGUUGUUUCCAUAUCAUAAGGGGUAAGUUUUUUACUUUUAGUAUUUUGUUAGUGAAUAUAUAUAAUAUUAAUAAUGAAAUGUUUUUGUGUUUCUGUUAGAAAGCAUUGGAUGCUUAUAAUAAUUUAUUUUGAUCACCAAUUGUGCUAUUUCCUGGAUUCUCUUCACAAUUUUCUACCAGAUGAAAUCAAAUCUCUCAUUUCUUGUGUCUUUCAACAUUUGCGCACAAAUAAUGCGAAAACUAAGGAAGUCGCGUGGAGAACUGUUAAGUGUCCUCGUCAACCAUUACAAUGUGGAUUCUAUGUUAUGAGGAUGAUAAAAGACUUCGUGACAAAUGAUUUUUCAAUGCGAUGGCUAACUAGUAACUGUGGCGGGAAGAACUCUUACACAAAUGAUAAGAUCAAUGAAGUGCGUGAAGAAUUGGCACAAUGCGUCAUGGAUUUGAUUAGUACUACAUAUGUCCACUCACUUUUGUUAACUUAGACUUUUAAGGAGAUACACUUACAAUGUUAACUUAGACUUUCUUGAAGAUAUACACACUUUUGUUGUCUAACUAG
Humulus lupulus (European hop) is the source of this 876-nucleotide long non-coding RNA. RefSeq lists it as uncharacterized. The record is from RefSeq and is a predicted model, not a curated record. The transcript is spliced from 4 exons. Lineage: Eukaryota; Viridiplantae; Streptophyta; Magnoliopsida; Rosales; Cannabaceae.